AAGGAAGCUGCGCUAGAGAUUAAGAGAAAAAACGCAAAAGCGCUCCAUCGACCCUUCAUUUGUUCAAUCACCAUCAUCUUCCGCGGCCUUUCUCCUUUUCGUCUACCAUCAUCAUCAAACUCCCUCACCAUCACGUUUUCCUCUUCUCAACAAACCCACCGCUUCCUUCAUUCUGCUAUCAUACGAACCGUGACUCCGCUAUAA
Vicia faba (fava bean) is the source of this 204-nucleotide non-coding RNA. The record is from the annotation of a GenBank genome assembly. NCBI's taxonomy places the organism in Eukaryota, Viridiplantae, Streptophyta, Magnoliopsida, Fabales, Fabaceae.